UACGUAGGGGGCAAGCGUUGUCCGGAUUUAUUGGGCGUAAAGAGCGUGUAGGCGGCCUGGUAGGUCAGCUGUGAAAACUCGGGGCUCAACCUCGAGACGCCGGUUGAAACCAUCAGGCUAGAGUCCGGAAGAGGAGAGUGGAAUUCCCGGUGUAGCGGUGAAAUGCGCAGAUAUCGGGAAGAACACCCGUGGCUAAGGCGGCUCUCUAGUACGGUACUGACGCUGAGACGCGAAAGCGUGGGGAGCGAACAGG
Molecule: ribosomal RNA, 253 nt
Filed under: uncultured bacterium
Lineage: Bacteria
Description: partial 16S ribosomal RNA
Rfam family: Bacterial small subunit ribosomal RNA
Source: RNAcentral